This 520-nucleotide ribosomal RNA is filed under the name uncultured Scutellospora. RNAcentral describes it as "SSU rRNA". It matches the Rfam family "Eukaryotic small subunit ribosomal RNA", at positions 569 to 1095 of the family's 1831-position model. Lineage: Eukaryota; Fungi; Glomeromycota; Glomeromycetes; Diversisporales; Gigasporaceae. The record is from RNAcentral.
AGCAGCCGCGGUAAUUCCAGCUCCAAUAGCGUAUAUUAAAGUUGUUGCAGUUAAAAAGCUCGUAGUUGAAUUUCGGGGUUCUACCGUUGGUCGGGCUUUGUCUGUACUGGCGUGUAGAAUUUCUACCUUCUGGGGAACCAUCAUGUUAUUAAUUUAGUGUGGUGGGAAACCAGGACCUUUACCUUGAAAAAAUUAGAGUGUUCAAAGCAGGCUUAUGUCUGAAUACAUUAGCAUGGAAUAAUAGAAUAGGACGGUGGUCCUGUUUUGUUGGUUUCUGAAUCACCGUAAUGAUUAAUAGGGAUAGUUGGGGGCAUUAGUAUUCAAUUGUCAGAGGUGAAAUUCUUGGAUUUAUUGAAGACUAACUUCUGCGAAAGCAUUUGCCAAGGAUGUUUUCAUUAAUCAAGAACGAAAGUUAGGGGAUCGAAGACGAUCAGAUACCGUCGUAGUCUUAACCAUAAACUAUGCCGACUAGGGAUCGGACGAUGUUAAUUUUUCUUGACUCGUUCGGCGCCUUACGGGA